UCUCAACAAGGUAGAAGGAAGCACGCGUCGCCGGCAACUAUUGCCCAGAAGAAGAAGGCUGCCCAGAUAGGACCAGAGGGGAAAGUCCAGCGAGCGCACUCCCAUGGCCUGCCUUCCAAUUUGGAUCGUUAUGAUGAUGGCGAGGAUCAAGCUGAGAGCUCCUCUGGUGCCACAUUGGGAGAAGGAGUAAUAGCGCCUAAGAGCAAAGGAGCAGACUUUACGUACUUGAUCGAGCAAGCUCAGUCACGGCAGAACGACCUUAGGGCAGCAGCCGUGCCAGAAUCUCCGUCCUUCUUUGACGAGCUAGCCACGGAUUUCAUGAAAGGGGUAAGCUCUAUCCGUACUGUAAGAAGUAAGAAUCUUCUAUUUCGGUGCAAAGAUGACAACUUUGUUGUGGAUGAUGACCUUACUUCAAGCUAUGAGAUACCAUUCCUCAACUUGGAUUUGCAUGCUAUCGCUGAACAAUUAUCAAAAAUUAAACUUUCAGAGAGGCUUUUUAUUGAAGAAGAUCUGUUGCCCAUUGAUCUUCGUUAUGACGACUCGAAAGGUUGUUCUUCAUCUUUUCAAUCCGAAGAACUUGAGGCAUUUAACAUGGAGCAAAAUCUGGAAGCACCACAUUCUCACAUUUAUUCCCCACCAUCAAAAGAUCUGCUAGGCCAUGCUGAUGACCACAACACAAAUAUUUUCCCUAAUCCAAACAUCUCCAGAGCUUCCCCAGCACAUGGAAAUGGCCAUGAAACAACGGUUGGCGUAAAUUUAGCGCAGCAAUAUGAUCAAAUAGAAUCCGAGCAAUCACUGAAAAAUAUCAGCAAAAGCUCUACUUCAAAGAUCGGAGAAGCAGAAGCAGAGCUUGACAUACUUCUCCAAUCAUUUAAAGAAACCAGUCUUUCAGAUUCUAUUCAAUGUGAUUUUCUCGACCAAGAACCUGCUUCUAAGAUCUCUUUGGAUGAUUCUCUGCCACUCCAUUGGAAAUCUGCUCCAAAUAUUGAUUUCUUUCAUCCAAUGCAUCAACAUCUAAGUGAUCAAACUCAGUUUUCUUCAAAGAAAAUGGUGAAAGCUUCAAUAGAUGAUGAUUCCAUUGAUGAUUUGCUUGCUGAAACCUCACAAAUCCUGAAAUUGCAGAAACAUGAGAGAGCUCCAGGUCCAGCUCCACAACUAGGCUCAAUCUUUUCUAAUACAAACCGCUCCGAUUCACAUUCUGGUUCAAGCUCGAUUGACGUGCUUGGAGGGCGUAAGUCCGUACUGACUCAAAUUGGAGAGGCUUCGUCCAAGGGUGUUUCUACCAAUAUAGGCUCAGUUGCUCUGAUGGAUGAUUUUGAUUCAUGGAUGGAUUCAUUCUGACAAUUUUUCGGGUGCAUUACGCCACGGCGAGUCUAUCGAGUGGAUCAAGCUUCUGAGAGUUUACGGUUCAAAGUAGAUUUCUAGCGACAAAUGCUUUGAAUUGAAAACAAGGAAAAGAGUUGGGAACGGAGGCACUGCUUUUGCUUCUUAUCAUUCUCUCUCAACUGGCUUGUGAGGUUAACGCUGAGUGCCUUUGAACGGGAUGUCAUGUGCAUUGAGGCUUUGAUCAUCAAAAGUAGCGAGGUAAUUAGUUGGAUGCAAUAAUCCAGCUUUCAUUAGUUUUUUUUUUAAAUAUUUUAGAGGGAUUUAUAUAUUUUUAAUUGGU
RNA transcript from Phalaenopsis equestris, 1666 nucleotides. RefSeq lists it as uncharacterized. The record is from RefSeq and is a predicted model, not a curated record. Lineage: Eukaryota; Viridiplantae; Streptophyta; Magnoliopsida; Asparagales; Orchidaceae.